GGAAAGCUUUUGCUAAAUUCAAAAAGUUUGGCGAAUAAGGACUGGGUAAGACAGGUGCCAGCCGCCGCGGUAAUACCUGCGGUCCAAGUCGCAGCCACAUUUAUUGGGUCUAAAACAUCCGUAGCUUGCUUAAUAAGUUCCUUGUGAAAUCCUAUGUCUUAAACAUGGGGCGCGCAGGGAGUACUGUUGAGCUAGAGACUGGAAGGCGUAGGAAGUACGCCCAAAGUAGUGGUAAAAUACGUUAAUCUUGGGCGGACUCACAAUAGCGAAGGCAUCCUACGAGGACAGAUCUGACAGUGAGGGAUGAAAGCUAGGGUCGCGAAACGGAUUAGAUACCCGUGUAGUCCUAGCAGUAAACACUGCACACUAAACAUUAGUACCUCCUCGAGAGGUAUUGGUGCUGAAGGGAAGCCGAAGAGUGUGCUACCUGGGAAGUAUAGUCGCAAGGCCGAAACUUAAAGGAAUUGGCGGGGGAGCAC
RNAcentral lists this ribosomal RNA (479 nucleotides) under uncultured archaeon. Its description in RNAcentral is "bacterial SSU rRNA". It matches the Rfam family "Archaeal small subunit ribosomal RNA", at positions 401 to 879 of the family's 1478-position model. The record is from RNAcentral.